GUCUAUGGCCAUACCACCCUGAACACACCUGAUCUUGUCUGAUCUCGGAAGCUAAGCAGGGUUGGGCUUGGUUAGUACUUGGAUAGGAGAAACAAAAUGACUCUCUCGCAUUGUGGCUU
RNAcentral lists this ribosomal RNA (119 nucleotides) under Prolemur simus (greater bamboo lemur). The record is from RNAcentral. Lineage: Eukaryota; Metazoa; Chordata; Mammalia; Primates; Lemuridae.